This 7282-nucleotide long non-coding RNA is filed under the name Lactuca sativa (garden lettuce). RNAcentral's name for it is "long non-coding RNA (LSAT_LNC008077)". Lineage: Eukaryota; Viridiplantae; Streptophyta; Magnoliopsida; Asterales; Asteraceae. The record is from RNAcentral.
UACAUGAUUAGGGUGAAACCCUAAUAACCCAUGACCUUUCCUUUUCCAAGGAUCCAUGGGUUAAAAGCUCCAUGGAUCAUCCAUGGACUUCCAUAUAAGCCUAGCCCAUUAACAAAUGAGUAUUAGCCCACACCAUAUAAAACAAUAGCCCACAAUUUAAUUAGUCUUCCUUUUAAUCUCUAAAUUAAUUCAUAAUUAAUUUAAGACUAAGACUAAUUAAAUAACAUGACUUCAUAUUACUAUAUUAUAACUUAUAAUAUAUUAAUAAUCAUAUGUGUAUAACUCUCAUAAAAUUAUCCAUAAAUAGUUUGGAUGAAAUGCAACCCAAAUGGACCAUGCCGGGUCGGGUCAAGUAUAUACCAAAUAAGUUAUGGACUUAGACACCUUAUCCAACAGACUCCCACUUGGAUAAGUCUAAUAACUAUAUUUGCGUAUGUUACUUCAGGAACCAACCAGCAAUCGUAGCUCUCGAAAACUCUGUUGAACUAUGAAGCGCCAUUUUAGAUAAGUGAUCAUAUAAUCCUCUGUUCUCAUGAUAUCAGCCGGACAAAUACAUGGAACAACGUCGUACUUAUUGUCCAGCAGUUUGUUUCCCGAUUUUCGAUUUGUUUGACAAAGAACUUAAUCGAACACAUCAAUUUAGUUCUGACCGGCCGGUACAUAGGUCACAACAAAAUCAUCGAGGGGCCCAGAUAUCGCUUCUAUUUCUAGAAGGAACAGAUAAACUUCGACUCAUAUGCUUGUUCUACUACUUGUUGAAUUGUACACAAAGGCACGUUUUAUAACAUCAAGUUACUGAUGCGUUUACGUGCAAUCAAUGCACAACCAACUCAUAGGUAACAACUCAUAUCUCUAGGUUUGAAGAUUUAUAUGAUAUUACCGUCUCACGAUCACUCGAGAUAAAUUCCAUGAAGUGAUACAAGUGAGCGUGGGUUUAUUCCAAUACUCAUAACUUAUGAGCACUCAUGAAUGUUGUAGCAACCAUUGCUAUGACUAAACCCAUUUAGCCAUCUACAAACUCGAUUCAUGACAGUCUUGAUUCAUACCUACUUCCAACAUAUGAACGACUGUGGAGUGUUUAAAUAACUUAGUCAUUCGGAAAGAAUAACCUAGCUAUUUUGGAAGUCAAAACAUGCAAAGUGAAACACAAUAAUAAUCGAAUCCAAUAUGGUCUCAGAACCCUUUUGAAUAUAAAUAGAACCACCUUUUAUUUAUCACCAUAUUGAUUACACAUUAUUCAUUGUAUAAUGUUUCAAACAAUCAACUUAAGACUUGAAUAAAAACAACAGUCGUCCCAUGCUCCUAGCAUGUACACUUUGUUUUUCUAAACAAUAGUUAUGCCAUACUCCAAGUAUGCACACUAUGUUUGUCUAUGAUCCUUACAUUGUGAUGUAGAUCAAUUGAACAUGAUUCCAAUGAUACUCAUUUCACAAUCCCAAAUCCUUAUUGUAAAUGUGAGAAUCCCCGAUUCCUAUCAUUUACCAAAAAAACUGUUAGAUUUUAAACUUUUAUGCAAUGUUCCUCUUGUAAUGAUUAUGCACAAAGUCACCAAAACCUUGUCACCAGUCAUUACAGAGUAUUCCAAAGAAGGUCAACUUCUAUGGAACGGAAGUCUCAUAUUCAAAGUACAUUGCUUUGAACAUCCUUCUUGCAUUAAGGUUUUCUAAUCUUACAUAGAUUGAAUAACUUCCACCUAUGGAGACAUUUCCAUAGUCCCAUUUUGACUAUCACUUCCGAACAAGAGUUACUUCUUUUCAGAAUAUGUCAAUAUGGUCCUUUCCGACAACUUACAUCAUACUUCCAACUUUCCCUGAGCAACCAAUCUUUGGCGAACCUCAGAUUGUCCUCGACAAUUGCUUAAUCACUUUAGUCAUAUCCAGUUCUAGACUUUUCCCUUCUCAAUGCCUUAAGCAUUUGGAAAAUUUAGAAAAGAUGAAUAUUAUAGCACAUGCAAUCGAUCCUAUAUCCGAAGCAUAUGGGACACGAUUCAUGAUGUUUGACAUAAAGACAUGAUACUAGACCAGUCUUUUGCUACAAUAUUUUUUAUUUGCCAUGUUUUCAAAAUUUAACUAUGAAGAGGGAUGCCGUAAUCAUAAUCGAAUUUUGAAAACGCAAUAUAUAUAGAAUUUCUUCAAGUUGAACCAUUCCAACAUAAAAUUCAUAUAUAUAUUCUUGACUAAAGAUGAUUAAAAUCUCAAUCUAAGCUUUAGAAUUGAAAUGAAGUAUAAUUUCCUCUCCCUUAAUUAUAGCAAAACAACUUUUCAACCCCUGCAACUUCACGAAUUGAAACUUUGUUUUCUAUAAUUAACAUUGCUAACUUGCAACACUAAACGUAAUAAUCAUGCUCCCACUAACAUGAUGAUUAUCAGCAUAACACUUAUGCUCCCACUAGCUCUGACAUAUUUCCAGAAAUCUGCUGGACUUCUGAAAUUUAGAUUCAUACACCCUUUCUUAGAUAGCUCACAUGUGUGUCUAAACAAUUUUCAGAACUAUGAAAAGGGAUGCCGUAAUCAUAGUCUCAAUUGCUUAGGCAUUUGCCAUUUCUCACAAGUCCAUGUUAGUGUGCCGGUUAACCACACGCGCUCCACUAACGACUUUUGAAAAUGCAAAUAACACAAUUGAUAUCUACGUAAAAUCUACUUAGUGAAAGCGUUUCCUCACCAUCAUUUUCAUGAAUCGGAGAGAAACCUUAUGACACUUAGAUUUUAUAGUGUAUGAGUUCCUAUCCAUGUGAAUUUGUCAAAACCAUAAUCACAAGAUAAGGUUAGUGACAAAUUCAGCCUUACAUGGAUUAAACUUGUUCAAUCUUAGUUUCUUGUCACCUUGGUAGCACAAGGCCCACCAAUGCUUCCAAGUUGAACUCUGAUAACUCACAUGCAAAUUCAACUUAUUUGAAGUAGGUACAGAAAUAAGAAUUAUGUCAACACGAUAGGUUGCAAACCUUAAGUCGUGUGCUAGUGAUAAAUUACAGGUUUUACUCUUGAUUAAAUCUUGAAACUCUUUCAGGAUCUUUAAGGCUCCCACUGUCCCCUUGACAUAUAAGUUUCCCCAGUCAAGAACCAUUCCUUGACAAAACAAAUAUUCAAGGGAUAGUGCGGAUUCUUAUCAAGACUAACACUUCACACAAUUGGUCUUAGUUGGUCUUUGUCUCAUCCAAGACAUCACAACUUACCAAUCUCAAAUGUACAAGAGUAGAAAACAUUUUACUCUUACAUUUGACUAGUGUUAAUAAAUCUUCCUUUAUGUCACUCAAAGUUACAAUCUUGGAGUAUGACUCUAAGAAUUGUUUUGGAACGAAGUAUGACUCAUCUUCUUGAUUUUAACCAAUCCAACAAUUCAUGACCUCUCUUCUUAGCCAUAACAAUGCACUAAGACGUCCUUAGAGUAUGAAUUUGUGAUAUGGUUUCAUAAUCAUUAAGAUGAUCAUGAAAUACGAUACUAAAGUACUCUCCCAUCCUUUCAGAUUUGAGAAACUUUUAUCUUUCUGCCUAAUUUGAUUCUUCUCAUUUGUUUUGUCAUACAUUGUAACCUUUCCAAUGUUACAGAAUUAUACUUAACCUCAUAAGUAUAAUCAUAUUUACUAAUCUUUAGUAAAUCAUGACAAAUCAAUCUUUGUGGUGGACCUUGACCAGCGCACACCCAGUGUACCUAAUUCCUUAGUCCUUCAAUUGACUCACAUAUACAUGUGAUCAAAGAAUUAGUCUUAAUUUUCAAAGAUGAAAAUUCUCAUUCAUCAUACAAUACAACUUGUAUGAUUCCAAGUUUCUGUCCAAUUGAAACUUGGGUGAUGAAAAACUUUCUUCAUUUGGUAAAUUCAGACACUACCACAAAUGAAAGAAUCAAAUCCACUUUCCAAUAUUGCUAUUACUGGAAACAUAUAAGCAACAAUUUUCCACAGAUGCCAUUGUAAGGAUAUUUUUAAAAUAAAUAAAAUUAAAACCCUUUUUUUUUUUUUUUUUAAAACUUUGCGGAAAAACUUAUCCUUACAAUCCACAUGAAAACCUUGUUGUUAUCUAUUCAUAAGCAAUAUAUUAUAACUCUUAAGCAACAGCUCAAAAUUCUGAUUACCGAACCAUGCGAUCGAAACCCACCUUCGCAAUCAGAAUCAACAUAUACUUACUUUAAGCUUCCUAUCUUUUCUUUGAUUCUUAAAAACAUCAGCAUGUGACCCAUUCACAUUAUGUAAUAAGAAUCUCCAAAUAGGAACUUAAUAGAGUUAGACAGUGGACUUUACCCGAAGUAGAGUCAAACCUCUUGACUUGAUCAACCUUAUGACCUUUCAGGUGAAUAGGGCAGCUUCGCAACCAAUGCCCCUUCCUUUGGCAACAAAACACAUGGACCCUUUGGUAAUGGCACAUGAGACUAUCUCAGACUUAGCCUUUCUCUUUACCAUUUGGUCAACCGAGUUGACUAUGGCCGAUCCCUUUCCAUUGGGAAGAGAAAUCCUUUUCUAGAUAUCCAAUGCUACCAUUGUCAAUGUCCAUUUAAGACUUGGGAAGUUGUUCUUUUAAUCAAAUUUGCUUUACUGGUGUUCCAAAUCAUUGCUGAUUCCACAACACCAAGCAAAUAGAUAACAUCAUUAAGGGUCAUGUCAUAGUCUGUCUCAUAGUAGUCCCAAAGAGACUCACUAUGUUACUAAGAAAGUGAUUGAACAUCCAACUUUCACGAGACUUUGACACCCAACUCUCCCGGCUUGUCAAUAUGUGACUUUAUCUCCAAGAUGUGAGCACACAUAGACUAUGCUUGCCAAUAGGGAUUGAGUGACUUUAAACUUUUCAAGAACUUGUGGGUGAGGGAGAAUAAUUGGAGGAGGUGGAGGAAGUGAAGCAUGAUGUUGAGGGACACCAUCUUCAAGAGAUUUGGGAAGAUCAUAGUUGUCUGAACCAGACAUCUAUAAUGGGAGAAAAUCAAGUUAGUUGAUUCAAAGUCCUUAAUAUAACACCCAAUAUGAAAUAUUAAGGCUAGGACCCAACACAAUAUUUUAUAAUUUGGAAGAGGGAUGCCGUAAUCCAAGCUAUAAAAUAUUUGAAGGUAGGCGAAUGACGAUUCACCAAUUUCCACCAUGAAAAACGAAAUAAUUUAUUAGGUUUUAAUUGGAUUUGAAAUUCCUAGAUCUUUUGAGAUUCAUUGAACUUUUCAAUGGCAUGUUUCAAUCUCGAGUGUGCCCUCUCAAAUUUUGUGACUGGGAUGCCGAGGAUCACAAAACAAGGUGUGAAUAACCAUACCAAUUCACUUGGUACCCUUAAUAUUAUCACCUAAUCAAUGUGCCGGUUAACCACACACGCUCCAUUGAUCUAUGACAAACAUUAAGUCACCCUUCGUGAUCCUUACUAGUCCAAGUUAGUGUGCCGGUUAACCACACACGCUCCACCAACGACUUGGUAAGGUACAAAGUGUGAAUUCCAUGGGCUAGCACCAAAUUCACAUUUUUCCUAAAGUAACUAAGAUUGGGAAUUAAAUAAAAAAUUUUUAGUUACUUUAUAAUAAUCAUUAUACUUUUAAUGAGAAUUUAAAGUCAUUGUCCUACCCGUUCGGCUAACGACCCUCCACCGAUCAAGCAAGCGGUGGGUGAGAGUGGACACCCAUUAAGUCGCCAUUUUAUAGGCAACAACCUUAUACCCACCUUAUAGACCGGCUUCGUGAAUGAGGCCUACUAACGGUAAAACGACUUGUUCUUAUACAUAUAUAUAAUAAUUAACCAUUAAUGUUAUAAAUAGUAUAAGUGUUGAAUUUUAACUUUUAAAACUCUAAGUGUUGGAAUUAAAGUUUAUUAAAGUGUGUGAAACUUUUCAAAUUCCAAAACUUGAGGGCAAGUUUUGUAACUAUCCAAAACUUUUCAUUUCAUAACUUAUGAAUUAAAGGUUCAUAAAAAUGAAGACUCUUCAUUUUCAUGUAACUUAUGUGUUUAAAUGUGUGUGUUAAAGAAAAGUGACCUUUGGAUAUCCAUAACUUGAGGACAAAUUAUGGACUCCAUUAAAACACAUAAAUGAUCAAGAAUUAAUUCUAAACAAUUCAGCAAAUAAUUCCUAUCAUCUUCUAAAUUCAUAAGAACAUGAACAUGAUCAUCAAAAUUUCAAGAAUUAUAUGAACACAUAAAAAUCAUGGAAUUUUGAUAUAUGCUAUUGUAAAUGGAUUAGAACAACCAUUACACCAACUAAAACAAGUUUUAAAACACCAAAACAGUUUAGGGUAAUGUUUCUAGUCCAUUUCCAGCAGCAAAAGUCGAAAUUCUGCAUUCUGAUCAUUCUACUCGCCGAGUGCACGAACCUACUCGCCGAGUAGGAUGAAUUUUGCCUUGAACUCGGCGAGUCCCCCCAUGGACUCGGCGAGUCCAUCAGCCAGACAGCAACAAUUUCAACUUUUUUCACUAUUUUGCAUCAAGUAUCAAACAAGCAAGCCUAGGCUCUGAUACCACUGUUGGGUUUUGAGCAAUCUAACACUUCCUAAGUGUGCAUGCAACCCUAAUAAACCUUGGAUCUAUGUUUGUCUAAAUACAUGCAAAAUAAUAAUUUUCCAAGGUUCAUAACCUAUCUAACAUGGCAUGGGGUACUUUUAAACAUAAAAGAAUUAGAUGAGAUUACAUACCUUUUGAUGAUGAGUUCAAUUCCUAAGGAGUUUGAGGGCCAAGAACCAAUAAUGUGAAUGCCUCAAAUGGAAUCACAAAUCACCACAAACUCUUGGAAAACUUUGAGAGAGUGUAUACACACUUAUAAAGUCGGCCACACACUAACACACAUACUCUAGUAACACUAGUCACACUAGUGGCCAUUUCAUGCAACAUAAGCAUGCUUAUAUAGUGUACAUGAUUAGGGUGAAACCCUAAUAACCCAUGGCCUUUCCUUUUCCAAGGAUCCAUGGGUUAAAAGCUCCAUGGAUCAUCCAUGGACUUCCAUAUAAGCCUAGCCCAUUAACAAAUGAGUAUUAGCCCACACCAUAUAAAACAAUAGCCCACAAUUUAAUUAGUCUUCCUUUUAAUCUCUAAAUUAAUUCAUAAUUAAUUUAAGACUAAGACUAAUUAAAUAACAUGACUUCAUAUUAAUAUAUUAUAACUUAUAAUAUAUUAAUAAUCAUAUGUGUAUAACUCUCAUAAAAUUAUCCAUAAAUAGUUUGGAUGAAAUGCAACCCAAAUGAACCAUGCCGGGUCGGGUCAAGUAUAUACCAAAUAAGUUAUGGACUUAGACACCUUAUCCAAUAGACUCCCACUUGGAUAAGUCUAAUAACUAUAUUUGCGUAUGUUACUUCAGGAACCAACCAGCAAUCGUAGCUCUCGAAAACUCUGUUG